RNAcentral lists this ribosomal RNA (2900 nucleotides) under Klebsiella pneumoniae. Its description in RNAcentral is "bacterial LSU rRNA". It matches the Rfam family "Bacterial large subunit ribosomal RNA". The record is from RNAcentral. Lineage: Bacteria; Pseudomonadati; Pseudomonadota; Gammaproteobacteria; Enterobacterales; Enterobacteriaceae.
UUAAGCGACUAAGCGUACACGGUGGAUGCCCUGGCAGUCAGAGGCGAUGAAGGACGUGCUAAUCUGCGAAAAGCGUCGGUAAGGUGAUAUGAACCGUUAUAACCGGCGAUGUCCGAAUGGGGAAACCCAGUGUGAUUCGUCACACUAUCGUUAACUGAAUACAUAGGUUAACGAGGCGAACCGGGGGAACUGAAACAUCUAAGUACCCCGAGGAAAAGAAAUCAACCGAGAUUCCCCCAGUAGCGGCGAGCGAACGGGGAGCAGCCCAGAGUCUGAAUCAGCUUGUGUGUUAGUGGAACGGUCUGGAAAGUCCGACGGUACAGGGUGAUAGUCCCGUACACCAAAAUGCACAGGCUGUGAACUCGAAGAGUAGGGCGGGACACGUGGUAUCCUGUCUGAAUAUGGGGGGACCAUCCUCCAAGGCUAAAUACUCCUGACUGACCGAUAGUGAACCAGUACCGUGAGGGAAAGGCGAAAAGAACCCCGGCGAGGGGAGUGAAAAAGAACCUGAAACCGUGUACGUACAAGCAGUGGGAGCACCUUCGGGUGUGACUGCGUACCUUUUGUAUAAUGGGUCAGCGACUUAUAUUCUGUAGCAAGGUUAACCGUAUAGGGGAGCCGCAGGGAAACCGAGUCUUAACUGGGCGUUAAGUUGCAGGGUAUAGACCCGAAACCCGGUGAUCUAGCCAUGGGCAGGUUGAAGGUUGGGUAACACUAACUGGAGGACCGAACCGACUAAUGUUGAAAAAUUAGCGGAUGACUUGUGGCUGGGGGUGAAAGGCCAAUCAAACCGGGAGAUAGCUGGUUCUCCCCGAAAGCUAUUUAGGUAGCGCCUCGUGAAUUCAUCUUCGGGGGUAGAGCACUGUUUCGGCUAGGGGGUCAUCCCGACUUACCAACCCGAUGCAAACUACGAAUACCGAAGAAUGUUAUCACGGGAGACACACGGCGGGUGCUAACGUCCGUCGUGAAGAGGGAAACAACCCAGACCGCCAGCUAAGGUCCCAAAGUCAUGGUUAAGUGGGAAACGAUGUGGGAAGGCACAGACAGCCAGGAUGUUGGCUUAGAAGCAGCCAUCAUUUAAAGAAAGCGUAAUAGCUCACUGGUCGAGUCGGCCUGCGCGGAAGAUGUAACGGGGCUAAACCAUGCACCGAAGCUGCGGCAGCGACACUAUGUGUUGUUGGGUAGGGGAGCGUUCUGUAAGCCUGCGAAGGUGUGCUGUGAGGCAUGCUGGAGGUAUCAGAAGUGCGAAUGCUGACAUAAGUAACGAUAAAGCGGGUGAAAAGCCCGCUCGCCGGAAGACCAAGGGUUCCUGUCCAACGUUAAUCGGGGCAGGGUGAGUCGACCCCUAAGGCGAGGCCGAAAGGCGUAGUCGAUGGGAAACAGGUUAAUAUUCCUGUACUUGGUGUUACUGCGAAGGGGGGACGGAGAAGGCUAUGUUAGCCGGGCGACGGUUGUCCCGGUUUAAGCAUGUAGGCUGGUUGUCCAGGCAAAUCCGGAUAAUCAAGGCUGAGGUGUGAUGACGAGGCACUACGGUGCUGAAGUAACAAAUGCCCUGCUUCCAGGAAAAGCCUCUAAGCAUCAGGUAACAUUAAAUCGUACCCCAAACCGACACAGGUGGUCAGGUAGAGAAUACCAAGGCGCUUGAGAGAACUCGGGUGAAGGAACUAGGCAAAAUGGUGCCGUAACUUCGGGAGAAGGCACGCUGGUGUGUAGGUGAAGCCCCUGCGGGUGGAGCUGAGACCAGUCGAAGAUACCAGCUGGCUGCAACUGUUUAUUAAAAACACAGCACUGUGCAAACACGAAAGUGGACGUAUACGGUGUGACGCCUGCCCGGUGCCGGAAGGUUAAUUGAUGGGGUUAUCCGUAAGGAGAAGCUCUUGAUCGAAGCCCCGGUAAACGGCGGCCGUAACUAUAACGGUCCUAAGGUAGCGAAAUUCCUUGUCGGGUAAGUUCCGACCUGCACGAAUGGCGUAAUGAUGGCCAGGCUGUCUCCACCCGAGACUCAGUGAAAUUGAACUCGCUGUGAAGAUGCAGUGUACCCGCGGCAAGACGGAAAGACCCCGUGAACCUUUACUAUAGCUUGACACUGAACAUUGAGCCUUGAUGUGUAGGAUAGGUGGGAGGCUUUGAAGCGUGGACGCCAGUCUGCGUGGAGCCAACCUUGAAAUACCACCCUUUAAUGUUUGAUGUUCUAACGUUGGCCCCUUACCGGGGUUGCGGACAGUGUCUGGUGGGUAGUUUGACUGGGGCGGUCUCCUCCCAAAGCGUAACGGAGGAGCACGAAGGUUAGCUAAUCCUGGUCGGACAUCAGGAGGUUAGUGCAAUGGCAUAAGCUAGCUUGACUGCGAGCGUGACGGCGCGAGCAGGUGCGAAAGCAGGUCAUAGUGAUCCGGUGGUUCUGAAUGGAAGGGCCAUCGCUCAACGGAUAAAAGGUACUCCGGGGAUAACAGGCUGAUACCGCCCAAGAGUUCAUAUCGACGGCGGUGUUUGGCACCUCGAUGUCGGCUCAUCACAUCCUGGGGCUGAAGUAGGUCCCAAGGGUAUGGCUGUUCGCCAUUUAAAGUGGUACGCGAGCUGGGUUUAGAACGUCGUGAGACAGUUCGGUCCCUAUCUGCCGUGGGCGCUGGAGAAUUGAGGGGGGCUGCUCCUAGUACGAGAGGACCGGAGUGGACGCAUCACUGGUGUUCGGGUUGUCAUGCCAAUGGCACUGCCCGGUAGCUAAAUGCGGAAGAGAUAAGUGCUGAAAGCAUCUAAGCACGAAACUUGCCCCGAGAUGAGUUCUCCCUGAGACUUUAAGUCUCCUGAAGGAACGUUAAAGACGAUGACGUUGAUAGGCCGGGUGUGUAAGCGCAGCGAUGCGUUGAGCUAACCGGUACUAAUGAACCGUGAGGCUUAACCUU